Molecule: ribosomal RNA, 556 nt
Filed under: uncultured Vibrionaceae bacterium
Lineage: Bacteria; Pseudomonadati; Pseudomonadota; Gammaproteobacteria; Vibrionales; Vibrionaceae
Description: bacterial SSU rRNA
Rfam family: Bacterial small subunit ribosomal RNA
Source: RNAcentral
GUGGGGGAUAACCAUUGGAAACGAUGGCUAAUACCGCAUAAUAGCCUACGGGCCAAAGAGGGGGACCUUCGGGCCUCUCGCGUCAGGAUAUGCCUAGGUGGGAUUAGCUAGUUGGUGAGGUAAUGGCUCACCAAGGCGACGAUCCCUAGCUGGUCUGAGAGGAUGAUCAGCCACACUGGAACUGAGACACGGUCCAGACUCCUACGGGAGGCAGCAGUGGGGAAUAUUGCACAAUGGGCGCAAGCCUGAUGCAGCCAUGCCGCGUGUGUGAAGAAGGCCUUCGGGUUGUAAAGCACUUUCAGUCGGGAGGAAGGUAGUGUAGUUAAUAGCUGCUUUAUUUGACGUUACCGACAGAAGAAGCACCGGCUAACUCCGUGCCAGCAGCCGCGGUAAUACGGAGGGUGCGAGCGUUAAUCGGAAUUACUGGGCGUAAAGCGCAUGCAGGUGGUUUGUUAAGUCAGAUGUGAAAGCCCGGGGCUCAACCUCGGAAUAGCAUUUGAAACUGGCUGACUAGAGUACUGUAGAGGGGGGUAGAAUUUCAGGUGUAGCGGUGAAA